GACGAACGCUGGCGGCGUGCUUAACACAUGCGAGUCGAACGCUGAAGCACCAGCUUGCUGGUGUGGAUGAGUGGCGAACGGGUGAGUAAUACGUGAGUAACCUGCCCUUGACUCUGGGAUAAGCCCGGGAAACUGGGUCUAAUACUGGAUGCUACAUGUCACCGCAUGGUGGUGUGUGGAAAGGGUUUACUGGUCUUGGAUGGGCUCACGGCCUAUCAGCUUGUUGGUGAGGUAAUGGCUCACCAAGGCGACGACGGGUAGCCGGCCUGAGAGGGUGACCGGCCACACUGGGACUGAGACACGGCCCAGACUCCUACGGGAGGCAGCAGUGGGGAAUAUUGCACAAUGGGCGAAAGCCUGAUGCAGCGACGCCGCGGGAGGGAUGACGGCCUUCGGGUUGUAAACCUCUUUCAGCAGGGAAGAAGCCACAAGUGACGGUACCUGCAGAAGAAGCGCCGGCUAACUACGUG
RNAcentral lists this ribosomal RNA (470 nucleotides) under uncultured bacterium. RNAcentral describes it as "partial 16S ribosomal RNA". It matches the Rfam family "Bacterial small subunit ribosomal RNA", at positions 28 to 507 of the family's 1533-position model. The record is from RNAcentral.